This 453-nucleotide ribosomal RNA is filed under the name uncultured bacterium. RNAcentral describes it as "bacterial SSU rRNA". It matches the Rfam family "Bacterial small subunit ribosomal RNA", at positions 340 to 786 of the family's 1533-position model. The record is from RNAcentral.
UACGGGAGGCAGCAGUGGGGAAUAUUGCACAAUGGGCGCAAGUCUGAUGCAGCCAUGCCGCGUGUAUGAAGAAGGCCUUCGGGUUGUAAAGUACUUUCAGUCGUGAGGAAGGUGUUAAGGUUAAUAACCUUAGCAAUUGACGUUAGCGACAGAAGAAGCACCGGCUAACUCCGUGCCAGCAGCCGCGGUAAUACGGAGGGUGCGAGCGUUAAUCGGAAUUACUGGGCGUAAAGGGCACGCAGGCGGUUAAUUAAGUUGGAUGUGAAAUCCCCGGGCUUAACCUGGGAAUGGCAUUCAAGACUGGUUAGCUAGAGUCUUGUAGAGGGGGUAGAAUUCCAUGUGUAGCGGUGAAAUGCGUAGAGAUGUGGAGGAAUACCGGUGGCGAAGGCGGCCCCUGGACAAAGACUGACGCUCAUGUGCGAAAGCGUGGGGAGCAAACAGGGAUUAGAUACC